This 920-nucleotide ribosomal RNA is filed under the name Enterococcus faecalis. Its description in RNAcentral is "bacterial SSU rRNA". It matches the Rfam family "Bacterial small subunit ribosomal RNA", at positions 62 to 952 of the family's 1533-position model. Lineage: Bacteria; Bacillati; Bacillota; Bacilli; Lactobacillales; Enterococcaceae. The record is from RNAcentral.
UCGAACGCUUCUUUCCUCCCGAGUGCUUGCACUCAAUUGGAAAGAGGAGUGGCGGACGGGUGAGUAACACGUGGGUAACCUACCCAUCAGAGGGGGAUAACACUUGGAAACAGGUGCUAAUACCGCAUAACAGUUUAUGCCGCAUGGCAUAAGAGUGAAAGGCGCUUUCGGGUGUCGCUGAUGGAUGGACCCGCGGUGCAUUAGCUAGUUGGUGAGGUAACGGCUCACCAAGGCCACGAUGCAUAGCCGACCUGAGAGGGUGAUCGGCCACACUGGGACUGAGACACGGCCCAGACUCCUACGGGAGGCAGCAGUAGGGAAUCUUCGGCAAUGGACGAAAGUCUGACCGAGCAACGCCGCGUGAGUGAAGAAGGUUUUCGGAUCGUAAAACUCUGUUGUUAGAGAAGAACAAGGACGUUAGUAACUGAACGUCCCCUGACGGUAUCUAACCAGAAAGCCACGGCUAACUACGUGCCAGCAGCCGCGGUAAUACGUAGGUGGCAAGCGUUGUCCGGAUUUAUUGGGCGUAAAGCGAGCGCAGGCGGUUUCUUAAGUCUGAUGUGAAAGCCCCCGGCUCAACCGGGGAGGGUCAUUGGAAACUGGGAGACUUGAGUGCAGAAGAGGAGAGUGGAAUUCCAUGUGUAGCGGUGAAAUGCGUAGAUAUAUGGAGGAACACCAGUGGCGAAGGCGGCUCUCUGGUCUGUAACUGACGCUGAGGCUCGAAAGCGUGGGGAGCAAACAGGAUUAGAUACCCUGGUAGUCCACGCCGUAAACGAUGAGUGCUAAGUGUUGGAGGGUUUCCGCCCUUCAGUGCUGCAGCAAACGCAUUAAGCACUCCGCCUGGGGAGUACGACCGCAAGGUUGAAACUCAAAGGAAUUGACGGGGGCCCGCACAAGCGGUGGAGCAUGUGGUUUAAUUC